This 378-nucleotide ribosomal RNA is filed under the name uncultured eukaryote. RNAcentral's name for it is "partial 18S ribosomal RNA". It matches the Rfam family "Eukaryotic small subunit ribosomal RNA", at positions 592 to 976 of the family's 1831-position model. The record is from RNAcentral.
CAAUAGCGUAUAUUUAAGUUGUUGCAGUUAAAAAGCUCGUAGUUGGAUUUCGGGUGGGACGCAGCGGUCUCGCAUUGCGUUUGUACUGCUGCAGCCCUCCUUCUUGCCGGGGGCGGCCUCUCGGACUUCACUGUCUGGGGGUCAGAAUCGGCGAUGUUACUUUGAGUAAAUUAGAGUGUUCAAAGCAAGCUUACGCUCUGAAUAUAAUAGCAUGGGAUAACACGACAGGACUCUGGCCUAUCGUGUUGGUCUAUAGGACCAGAGUAAUGAUUAAGAGGGACAGUCGGGGGCAUUCGUAUUCCGUUGUCAGAGGUGAAAUUCUUGGAUUUACGGAAGACGAACAUCUGCGAACGCAUUUGCCAAGGAUGUUUUCAUUGA